UAGGGAAUCUUCGGCAAUGGGGGGAACCCUGACCGAGCAACGCCGCGAGAGUGAAGAAGGUUUUCGGAUCGUAAAGCUCUGUUGUUAAGGAAGAACGAGUGUGAGAAUGGAAAGUUCAUGCUGUGACGGUACUUAACCAGAAAGGGACGGCUAACUACGUGCCAGCAGCCGCGGUAAUACGUAGGUCUCGAGCGUUGUCCGGAUUUAUUGGGCGUAAAGCGAGCGCAGGCGGUUAGGAAAGUCUGAAGUGAAAGGCAGUGGCUCAACCAUUGUAGGCUUUGGAAACUGUUUAACUUGAGUGCAGAAGGGGAGAGUGGAAUUCCAUGUGUAGCGGUGAAAUGCGUAGAUAUAUGGAGGAACACCGGUGGCGAAGGCGGCUCUCUGGUCUGUAACUGACGCUGAGGCUCGAAAGCGUGGGGAGCGAACAGG
Molecule: ribosomal RNA, 429 nt
Filed under: Bacteroidota bacterium
Lineage: Bacteria; Pseudomonadati; Bacteroidota
Description: Bacteroidetes bacterium partial 16S ribosomal RNA
Rfam family: Bacterial small subunit ribosomal RNA
Source: RNAcentral